RNAcentral lists this long non-coding RNA (1052 nucleotides) under Androctonus crassicauda. The record is from RNAcentral. Lineage: Eukaryota; Metazoa; Arthropoda; Arachnida; Scorpiones; Buthidae.
AGGAUGGAACUGUUGGCAUAUUUUAUAUAUUAAAAAUAUUUACUUCUUUGUAGUGUUUAUUAUUAUAAUUAUUUCAUUCAUGAUAAUUAUUUUAUGCAAAUUUUUAUUUUGGCUAUUUUUUUCCAUAUAGAAUAUAUGUAAAUAGUGAUUUGAGUAUUUUAACAUUAAAAUUUUUUACUAGAUUUCAUUUUUUAUAUAGAGCAUUAAUUAAAAUAGAAAGAUAUAUCAAAAUUUUCCAGACUUCCAAUUGUUCAGCAACUUUGAGAGAUAUAUGAGUCCACCACUAGGAGACCUGUCUGCACCAAUAAUAUUGACCUGGAUAUAAUGUAACUUAUGUUACAACAUUUGCGACCAAGUAUUUAUUUUGUUCAGUAGUCUCACAAUGGUUAACAAUCCCAAAGAAUAUACAAAAUGUGAAGUUUUGUGUGAAACUCUGAAAAUCAGCCAAUAAGACUGGAAAUGCUUCAAUAAGCUUUUAGUAAUGAUACUCUAAGCUGUUCAGUUUUUCCAGUGGCAGGCAUACUUCAAAAAUGUCUGAAUGUCUGUUGAAGACAACAAUGAUGUAGGAUGACUGUCACUAUACUAUCUAGGCAUUUUCAACGUUAUUGGAAUUUCAAUUGAACCUGCCAGUAUAGCAGGUUCACUACAAAUUGAAAAUGUAUUCCAUCACUACUAAGUUCAUCUCCAAGUCUUUGAUAUUAGAUAGAAGCAACAUCAUCUGAAUGUCUGCUAUGAGCUAUGUGAUCAAGAAAAUGAGGACUCAACCUUUUUCUUGAAGGCCAUCACAGGUGAUAAAGGUUGAGUUUACUAAUUUGUCUCUGGAUGAUACUUUUAGUCUUUGCAGUGGAAGAACUCAUGAUUACAAAGACUGAAGAAGACAUGGCAAAUGAGGAGCAUAACAAAAAUCAUUUUAAUGGGUUUUUUUUACAUCAAAGAGUUUUUGCAUCUGAAAUUUACCAUAUGCAGUCAGUCAAUUCGACCUUUUUUGUUUUGAGACAGCUGAGAGAAGACAUUUUUUGCAAAAUAACCAAAACUCUUCUUGUAUUACACAU